GUCCACGCCGUAAACGAUGGGCACUAGGUGCUUGGGGAGCGACCCCUGAGUGCCGGCGCUAACGCAUUAAGUGCCCGCCUGGGGAGUACGGCCGCAAGGCUGAAACUCAAAGGAAUUGACGGGGCCCGCACAAGCGGUGGAGCAUGUGGUUUAAUUCGACGCAACGCGAAGAACCUUACCUGGGCUUGACAUGGCGCGGAAAGCCCCUGGAAACAGGGGCCCCUCUUCGGAGCCGCGUCACAGGUGCUGCAUGGCUGUCGU
This 261-nucleotide ribosomal RNA is filed under the name uncultured bacterium. RNAcentral's name for it is "partial 16S ribosomal RNA". It matches the Rfam family "Bacterial small subunit ribosomal RNA", at positions 793 to 1055 of the family's 1533-position model. The record is from RNAcentral.